Long non-coding RNA from Cyprinus carpio carpio, 1658 nucleotides. The record is from Ensembl. NCBI's taxonomy places the organism in Eukaryota, Metazoa, Chordata, Actinopteri, Cypriniformes, Cyprinidae.
CACAUUUUCGGCUCUUUAAUGCAUAAUUUGUUGCUUGAUUACAUAUGAACAUAACUUGACAACAAUUAGGAACAUAAAUGACAGAUUUAUUUCCUUAACAUUAAUCUAGUCACUGAGCUUUUCAUGCAGUUCCCAGGGGAGCUUCUUGAUUGACAAGUGCCCUGUCCCUUUGUGUGGAAACACCCCCAUGAAGUUAUGUGAUUGCAGUCACAUGACAUCCAUGCUAAAAUUAUAGUAAAAGUCCUGUUGUCUAAAUUUUGUUAGAACAGGAAAUAAACACACUGCAUCUUAGGUGUACCAGAUUACUCAAUGUCCCAGAUUACCCGAGUUCACCCUAUUUAUUUCUACACUAAAACUGUGGUAACAAAAGUAAUGGUCAAAUGAAACAAAAUCCAUUUUUAUUAAAUAAAAACGUAUUAAAUGUAGUAGUUACUGUAUUUUGGCAGUUAACCGCUGCUGGUACCUACAUUUUGUAAUUAACAAGUGUGGCCUUUUGUCUGAAUAAUAAUGACAAACUCCUUUAAGACAUUAUGUAAAUAAAUAUGGUUUUUUGAAAAUAAAAAAUGUACAUUUUAAACCAAACCCAUUAUGACUCUUGUGGUGACAAAGAUUUUACUCAGAAACUGUAGUGGCCCUUUGCCAAGUAAUGUGAUUUUAUUGAAUAGCUAAAAUAUUCCACCGAUUAAGCCUUGAUUUAUCAUGUGAAUUACAAGCUCAUACAUUUCACUUUCACCGUUUUGUCACACAGAUGUUACCCUUUGGCAGGCUGCCCACAAAAUAAAUACAUGUAUUAGUCCAUCAAGUCUCUGGUGAUCAGUGCACAAUGGUUGUCUGAUUUAUUACAGCUCUUCAAAGAGGAAUACACAACAUAUGAGGGUCCAGAUCCUGGGGACUCAUUUACAAGGGAGAAAAAGCCAUUUAGACUUAAUCAAACAUCUAUCCAUGUUUGUGAUUGUCCUUUUUCGGGUAGCAGAGUGGAUUCCAGCUAUGAUUAAAUUUUAUCAGGUGUCCAUGGGCAGCAAUGAACACUAAACUGCAAGAGUUGGGGGUUUCUCUGUCCACAUUAGCAAAUGACACAGCCACCUUUCUCUUUGAAUGGGUUCUUCUCUUCUGGAAUGCCUUUGACCAAAGGAUCCUCAUCUGCUCCGCUCUGAAUGUACUCUGAAAUCUCUUCACAGCAUUUGGACACCUGAUGAAAAAGGUCAUUUAAGUGACAAUCAAACAAAAAUGAGCAUAACAAUGCCCAUCCAACUUUGAUGACCAUUUUAUGAGUAGAUUUCAACGCUUACCUUCGCCCUUUCAAGCUUCACCUCAAUUUUGAGUUGGGUUACUUCCAUUUUAGCCUUAUCCAGAUCUGUUAGCUCUUCUACAUUUAUGACCGGCAUUGUCUGAGAAAUCAAAUCAAACGUUCACAUCACAUGUGGUAGGGUAUUUAUGUUUGAGAUAUUUAAUUAUACAAUAUACUGCUGAUGACCAGACUUACUGCCGCUUAUGAUGAGGUCUCCUCCACCUGUGAAAAUGGACAGAGAUUCUGUACCUCUCUCUCAAUCUGGUUUAUAAAGUAAUCUGCAUAAACAUGUAAUCGCUUAAUCUCAUUUAAACAACCACUCAUAUUUUAUCUUUCCAUAGUCUUCUCCAAAUGUCUGGUCAGCUGUUCU